This 470-nucleotide ribosomal RNA is filed under the name uncultured Thermoanaerobacteraceae bacterium. RNAcentral describes it as "bacterial SSU rRNA". It matches the Rfam family "Bacterial small subunit ribosomal RNA", at positions 91 to 578 of the family's 1533-position model. The record is from RNAcentral. Lineage: Bacteria; Bacillati; Bacillota; Clostridia; Thermoanaerobacterales; Thermoanaerobacteraceae.
CCUAGUGGCAGACGGGUGAGUAACGCGUGGUCAACCUACCGUUGAGUGGGGGAUAACUAGCCGAAAGGUUAGCUAAUACCGCAUACGAGUUUCGGGGGCAUCCCUGAACCUUAAAAGGAGCAAUCCGCUCGAUGACGGGACCGCGUCCCAUUAGCUAGAUGGUGGGGUAAUGGCCUACCAUGGCUCCGAUGGGUAGCUGGUUUGAGAGAGCGACCAGCCACACUGGGACUGAGAAACGGCCCAGACUCCUACGGGAGGCAGCAGUGAGGAAUUUUCCGCAAUGGGCGAAAGCCUGACGGAGCGACGCCGCGUGUGGGAAGAAGGCCUUCGGGUCGUAAACCACUGUCGAAGGGGACGAUAAUGACGGUACCCUUGGAGGAAGCCCCGGCUAACUACGUGCCAGCAGCCGCGGUAAGACGUAGGGGGCGAGCGUUAUUCGGAAUUAUUGGGCGUAAAGCGCUCGUAGGCGG